AACCAGCAGCUCUAGUGGUUGUCGCUUUUAUUGGGCUUAAAGCGUUCGUAGUCGGUCUCGUCAGUCCUCUGUGAAAUCCGGCGACUUAAUCGUCGGGCUGGCAGAGGAUACUGCGGGACUAGGAGACGGGAGAGGUCAGGGGUACUCCCUGGGUAGCGGUGAAAUGCUAUAAUCCUGGGAUGACCACCGGUGGCGAAGGCGCCUGACUGGAACGUGCUCGACGAUGAGGGACGAAAGCUAGGGUAGCAAACCGGAUUAGAUACCCGGGUAGUCCUAGCCGUAAACGAUGCAGACUUAGUGUUGCCGGAACUACGCGUUCCGGCAGUGCUGUAGGGAAACCGUUAAGUCUGCCGCCUGGGGAAGUACGGUCGCAAGGCUAGAAAACUUAAAGGAAUUGGGCGGGGGAGCACCACGAAGGGGUGGAGUCUGUCGGUUU
RNAcentral lists this ribosomal RNA (436 nucleotides) under uncultured archaeon. RNAcentral's name for it is "bacterial SSU rRNA". It matches the Rfam family "Archaeal small subunit ribosomal RNA", at positions 474 to 904 of the family's 1478-position model. The record is from RNAcentral.